This 499-nucleotide ribosomal RNA is filed under the name uncultured Glomeromycotina. RNAcentral describes it as "partial small subunit ribosomal RNA". It matches the Rfam family "Eukaryotic small subunit ribosomal RNA", at positions 591 to 1092 of the family's 1831-position model. Lineage: Eukaryota; Fungi; Glomeromycota. The record is from RNAcentral.
CCAAUAGCGUAUAUUAAAGCUGUUGCAGUUAAAAAGCUCGUAGUUGAAUUUCGGGAUCAAUUUAUUGGUCGUGCUAUUGUACGUACUGGUAUUAUUGAUUCCUACCUUCUGACGAACCAUGAUGUCAUUAAUUUGGUGUCAUGGGGAAUCAGGACUGUUACUUUGAAAAAAUUAGAGUGUUUAAAGCAGGCUCACGCUUGAAUACAUUAGCAUGGAAUAACGAAAUAGGACGUUUGAUUCUAUUUUGUUGGUUUCUAGGAUCGACGUAAUGAUUAAUAGGGAUAGUUGGGGGCAUUAGUAUUCAAUUGUCAGAGGUGAAAUUCUUGGAUUUAUUGAAGACUAACUACUGCGAAAGCAUUUGCCAAGGAUGUUUUCAUUAAUCAAGAACGAAAGUUAGGGGAUCGAAGACGAUCAGAUACCGUCGUAGUCUUAACCAUAAACUAUGCCGACUAGGGAUCGGAUGAUGUUAAUUUUUUAAUGACUCAUUCGGCGCCUUACG